This is a long non-coding RNA of Bombina bombina (fire-bellied toad), 518 nucleotides long. RefSeq lists it as uncharacterized. The transcript is spliced from 7 exons. Lineage: Eukaryota; Metazoa; Chordata; Amphibia; Anura; Bombinatoridae. The record is from RefSeq and is a predicted model, not a curated record.
UUUGGCUCUCUGACGGGGAGGUCCUUUGGUGAAGCCUCUGCCAUUUGUACAAGUCAUGUUCUGUUGGAAGAGGUGUACGUUCCUUCUGCACAGUGAUCCUCCAUAAAAUGUGCUACUGGAACGCGGCAGCUGCUGGAGUAUAAAACAUACAAACUUUCAAGGUGCAAAGAACAGCAAGGUCCUUUGGUGAAGCCUCUGCCAUUUGUACAAGUCAUGUUCUGUUGGAAGAGGUGUACGUUCCUUCUGCACAGUGAUCCUCCAUAAAAUGUGCUCCUGGAGGAUAAUGCAAACAAAUUGUCAAGGCAUAAAGUGCUGUCUGGGGGAAGAGCUAAUACAAGGUGUGCGGUGCCCCCUGCUGGUCUCAAGUCAUAGGUUGGAGUCUUCUGUAGAGAACUUGCAAUAGUCCGGUGAAUGAGAUUGAACAUCCUGCAUUACCAUAUGUUCUUUGAAGCCAUAUCCCGGAUAGAAUGUAGUCAAGUCAAUGUAACCACUGGAAAAUAAAAGCUACUUACGUUUAA